This 510-nucleotide ribosomal RNA is filed under the name uncultured bacterium. Its description in RNAcentral is "bacterial SSU rRNA". It matches the Rfam family "Bacterial small subunit ribosomal RNA", at positions 29 to 507 of the family's 1533-position model. The record is from RNAcentral.
CAACGAACGCUGGCGGCGGUGGCAUAAGACAUGCAAGUCGAACGCUGACUUCAGGGUAGCAAUAUUCUGGAGUCGGAGUGGCGCAAGGGUGCGUAACACGUGGGCAACCUGCCCUGAAGUUCGGGAUAACUCGCUGAAAGGCGAGCUAAUACCGGAUGUGCAUUUCGGAAGGCAUCUUCUGGAAUGUAAAGUUGAGGACCGAAAGGCUUGACGCUUCUGGAUGGGCCCGCGGCCUAUCAGCUAGUUGGUGAGGUAACGGCUCACCAAGGCUUAGACGGGUAGCUGGUCUGAGAGGACGACCAGCCACACUGGAACUGAGACACGGUCCAGACACCUACGGGUGGCAGCAGCUCGAGAAUUUUUCUCAGUGGGCGAAAGCCUGAAGGAGCGACGCCGCGUGGGGGAUGAAGGGCUUCCGCUCGUAAACCCCUGUCAUUCGCGAACAAUUCCUCCAGCCUAACACGCUGGAGGUUGAUGGUAGCCCAAGAGGAAGGGACGGCUAACUCUGUG